AUUGAACGCUGGCGGCAUGCUUUACACAUGCAAGUCGAACGGCAGCGCGGGCUUCGGCCUGGCGGCGAGUGGCGAACGGGUGAGUAAUGCAUCGGAACGUGCCCAGUAGUGGGGGAUAGCCCGGCGAAAGCCGGAUUAAUACCGCAUACGACCUGAGGGUGAAAGCGGGGGGCCGAAAGGCCUCGCGCUAUUGGAGCGGCCGAUGUCGGAUUAGCUAGUUGGUGGGGUAAAGGCUUACCAAGGCGACGAUCCGUAGCUGGUCUGAGAGGACGACCAGCCACACUGGGACUGAGACACGGCCCAGACUCCCACGGGAGGCAGCAGUGGGGAAUUUUGGACAAUGGGGGCAACCCUGAUCCAGCCAUGCCGCGUGCGGGAAGAAGGCCUUCGGGUUGUAAACCGCUUUUGUUCGGGAAGAAAUCCUCUGGGCUAAUACCCCGGGGGGAUGACGGUACCGGAAGAAUAAGCACCGGCUAACUACGUG
Molecule: ribosomal RNA, 484 nt
Filed under: uncultured bacterium
Lineage: Bacteria
Description: partial 16S ribosomal RNA
Rfam family: Bacterial small subunit ribosomal RNA
Source: RNAcentral